UAGGGAAUCUUCCGCAAUGGGCGAAAGCCUGACGGAGCAACGCCGCGUGAGUGAUGAAGGUUUUCGGAUCGUAAAGCUCUGUUGUUAAGGAAGAACGAGUGUGAGAAUGGAAAGUUCAUGCUGUGACGGUACUUAACCAGAAAGGGACGGCUAACUACGUGCCAGCAGCCGCGGUAAUACGUAGGUCCCGAGCGUUGUCCGGAUUUAUUGGGCGUAAAGCGAGCGCAGGCGGUUAGAAAAGUCUGAAGUGAAAGGCAGUGGCUCAACCAUUGUAGGCUUUGGAAACUGUUUAACUUGAGUGCAGAAGGGGAGAGUGGAAUUCCAUGUGUAGCGGUGAAAUGCGUAGAUAUAUGGAGGAACACCGGUGGCGAAAGCGGCUCUCUGGUCUGUAACUGACGCUGAGGCUCGAAAGCGUGGGGAGCGAACAGG
Molecule: ribosomal RNA, 429 nt
Filed under: Bacteroidota bacterium
Lineage: Bacteria; Pseudomonadati; Bacteroidota
Description: Bacteroidetes bacterium partial 16S ribosomal RNA
Rfam family: Bacterial small subunit ribosomal RNA
Source: RNAcentral